GACGAACGCUGGCGGCGUGCCUAAUACAUGCAAGUUGAGCGAUGAAGAUUGGUGCUUGCACCAAUUUGAAGAGCAGCGAACGGGUGAGUAACGCGUGGGGAAUCUGCCUUUGAGCGGGGGACAACAUUUGGAAACGAAUGCUAAUACCGCAUAACAACUUUAAACAUAAGUUUUAAGUUUGAAAGAUGCAAUUGCAUCACUCAAAGAGGAUCCCGCGUUGUAUUAGCUAGUUGGUGAGGUAAAGGCUCACCAAGGCGAUGAUACAUAGCCGACCUGAGAGGGUGAUCGGCCACAUUGGGACUGAGACACGGCCCAAACUCCUACGGGAGGCAGCAGUAGGGAAUCUUCGGCAAUGGACGAAAGUCUGACCGAGCAACGCCGCGUGAGUGAAGAAGGUUUUCGGAUCGUAAAACUCUGUUGGUAGAGAAGAACGUUGGUGAGAGUGGAAAGCUCAUCAAGUGACGGUAACUACCCAGAAAGGGACGGCUAACUACGUG
Molecule: ribosomal RNA, 497 nt
Filed under: uncultured bacterium
Lineage: Bacteria
Description: partial 16S ribosomal RNA
Rfam family: Bacterial small subunit ribosomal RNA
Source: RNAcentral